This 259-nucleotide ribosomal RNA is filed under the name uncultured prokaryote. RNAcentral describes it as "partial 16S ribosomal RNA". It matches the Rfam family "Bacterial small subunit ribosomal RNA", at positions 524 to 782 of the family's 1533-position model. The record is from RNAcentral.
UACGUAGGUGGCGAGCGUUAUCCGGAAUUAUUGGGCGUAAAGAGCGCGCAGGUGGUUGAUUAAGUCUGAUGUGAAAGCCCACGGCUUAACCGUGGAGGGUCAUUGGAAACUGGUCGACUUGAGUGCAGAAGAGUGGAGUGGAAUUCCAUGUGUAGCGGUGAAAUGCGUAGAGAUAUGGAGGAACACCAGUGGCGAGGGCGGCUUCCUGGUCUGUAACUGACACUGAGGCGCGAAAGCGUGGGGAGCAAACAGGAUUAGA